UCAUCUAACAUGGAUUGUUUAUGGCUAGCACUGCUGAAUUUUCCCAUUUGGGAGAGAAAGAGGGAAAGUUACACCUCCAGCUCAAAUCCAAUUAGGGAUCUGAAACAGAGGAGGUGACAGAAGGGUGUUAAGGUGUUAUUAAGCCGUCUCUGAUUUUACCCCAUUCCAUCAGUGGGAGCAGAACUAGCAGCACCCUCUUGCUUGUUUUCAGGUCAACAGCUAUCUGACUAGUACUUUGAAUGUUCUUAACCAAAAUAAGAGCUCUAUAGCCUACCAUUCUUUGCCUGUUCUGUCCUAACUGCUUCACUGAGCUGGUGUUGGUAUGGAACACCAGCCAUGCACAUCAGAGUCUAAUUGUAUUUUCUUUUCUCUCCCUUCCCAUAUGCAUUGAUGAAGCUUCUUGAAGGGUAUGCACAACAAAGGAGAAAUCUUACACCAAGAAGCCAGCAACUGUUGGACAGCCCUGUACUGCGCAGUGAUGACGAAGAUGAAACAGCAGAUGAUGUGACUGACGUAGAGUCUGAAGUGGCUGACGUAGAACCUGAAGUGACUGACGUAGAACCUGAAGUGACUGAAGACUCUGCAGAAGGGGGAUCAUCGGACGAGGAAACUGCAAAUUCAGAGGAAUGGCAACGAGCUGUAAGGUGCCCGAUUUGCAUGGAUUUUUAUUCACGGAUUCUACGAAAACACCGACAGGUUGUGUCAACCCAGUGUGGCCACCUCUUCUGCAGUCGGUGCCUCCCUUUUGCCCUUCAGACUUCUUGGGCUUGCCCAACCUGCAGGACAGAACUCCCUCCCAGAGCCUAUCAUCGCAUUUUUUUCUGAAUACUUCUGUUUCUCAGGACAGACUCAGAUGGAUUUUGGGGGAUAGGUGGCAGAAAGACUUUUUUCUUCAUGUACAUAGUUCUUGUUGUAUACAGUUCCAUUUUUCUGGAGUUUAAUUAGAAAUAUAAAUUUAAAUUAAUUA
Molecule: RNA transcript, 967 nt
Organism: Neopelma chrysocephalum (saffron-crested tyrant-manakin)
Lineage: Eukaryota; Metazoa; Chordata; Aves; Passeriformes; Pipridae
Gene name: E3 ubiquitin-protein ligase RNF4-like
Exons: 6
Source: RefSeq, a predicted model, not a curated record